UAAGCAUAUCAAUAAGCGGAGGAAAAGAAACCAACAGGGAUUGCCUUAGUAACGGCGAGUGAAGCGGCAACAGCUCAGAUUUGAAAUCUAUUUUUUAAUUAAAAUCGAAUUGUAAUCUGUAGAAGGUUGAUUUGGCUGAAAAUCUGAUUUAAGUUCCCUGGAAUAGGACAUCAUAGAGGGUGAGAAUCCCGUGAUUAUCAGAAAUAAGUCAUUAAAAUCACCUUUCGACGAGUCGAGUUGUUUGGGAAUGCAGCUCUAAAUGGGUGGUAAAUUUCAUCUAAAGCUAAAUACCUGCCAGAGACCGAUAGCGAACAAGUAGAGUGAUCGAAAGAUGAAAAGCACUUUGAAAAGAGAGUUAAAAAGUACGUGAAAUUGUUGAAAGGGAAGCGCUUGCCAUUAGACUUGAUAUUUAAAUUCAAUUUACUCAUGGGUAAAUGUAUUUUUUAUUUAUCAGGCCAGCAUCAAUUUAAUGGGAUUUUUAAAUAUUUUGGAGAUGUAGUAAUAAUUUCGAUUAUUAUGUUAUAAGCCAUUAUACCAUAAAUCCACAUUAGAUUGAGGUCUGCCCUUCGGGAAGGAUGCUGGCAUAAUGAUUGUAAGCGACCCGUCUUGAA
This 611-nucleotide ribosomal RNA is filed under the name Rolueckia aff. conspersa. Its description in RNAcentral is "partial large subunit ribosomal RNA". It matches the Rfam family "Eukaryotic large subunit ribosomal RNA", at positions 35 to 658 of the family's 3401-position model. Lineage: Eukaryota; Fungi; Ascomycota; Lecanoromycetes; Ostropales; Graphidaceae. The record is from RNAcentral.